GACACUGAGGGACUCGGAGACGUGGACAAGGGGGACUCAAAGCAUGACACCAAGAUCUUCUCUCUGGCCGUCCUUCUGAGUAGCACUCUAGUGCUGAACAGCCAAGGGACGAUCGACAACAGGGCCAUAGAGGAACUGCAAUAUGUCACAGAGUUGACUGAGUAUAUAAAGGUCAAAUCCUCUGAUGAGGGUGAAGACGACUCAGAGUUUGUGAAGUUCUUCCCUAGUUUCAUCUGGGCUGUGAGGGACUUCACCUUGGAACAAAAAAUCAAUGGAAAAUAUGUGACUGAGGACCAAUAUUUAGAAUAUGCCUUGA
Molecule: long non-coding RNA, 316 nt
Organism: Ctenopharyngodon idella (grass carp)
Lineage: Eukaryota; Metazoa; Chordata; Actinopteri; Cypriniformes; Xenocyprididae
Exons: 3
Source: RefSeq, a predicted model, not a curated record